AACGAACGCUGGCGGCAGGCCUAACACAUGCAAGUCGAGCGCACCCUUCGGGGUGAGCGGCGGACGGGUGAGUAACGCGUGGGAACGUGCCCUUCUCUGCGGAAUAGCCUCGGGAAACUGAGAGUAAUACCGCAUACGCCCUUUGGGGGAAAGAUUUAUCGGAGAAGGAUCGGCCCGCGUUGGAUUAGGUAGUUGGUGGGGUAAUGGCCCACCAAGCCGACGAUCCAUAGCUGGUUUGAGAGGAUGAUCAGCCACACUGGGGCUGUGACACCGCCCAGUCUCCUUCGACAGGCAGCAGUGGCGUAUCUUAGACGAAGUACGCAACCGUGAUCUAGCCAUCGCGCGGGAGUGAUCAAGGCCAUCGGCUUGUAAUGCCCUUUCAGCUGGCGAGUUAUCGACGGUAACUGCAAAAGAAGCCCCGACUAGCUCAGUG
Molecule: ribosomal RNA, 433 nt
Filed under: uncultured bacterium
Lineage: Bacteria
Description: partial 16S ribosomal RNA
Rfam family: Bacterial small subunit ribosomal RNA
Source: RNAcentral